GACGAACGCUGGCGGCGUGCUUAACACAUGCAAGUCGAACGGUAAGGCCCUUCGGGGUACACGAGUGGCGAACCGGUGAGUAACACGUGGGUGAUCUGCCCUGCACUUCGGGAUAAGCCUGGGAAACUGGGUCUAAUACCGGAUAGGACCACUGCCUGCAUGGGUGGUGGUGGAAAGCGUUUGCGGUGUGGGAUGGGCCCGCGGCCUAUCAGCUUGUUGGUGGGGUGAUGGCCUACCAAGGCGACGACGGGUAGCCGGCGUGAGAGGGUGACCGGCCACACUGGGACUGAGAUACGGCCCAGACUCCUACGGGAGGCAGCAGUGGGGAAUAUUGCACAAUGGGCGCAAGCCUGAUGCAGCGACGCCGCGUGAGGGAUGACGGCCUUCGGGUUGUAAACCUCUUUCAGCACCGACGAAGCGCAAGUGACGGUAGGUGCAGAAGAAGGACCGGCCAACUACGUGCCAGCCGCCGCAGUAA
This 478-nucleotide ribosomal RNA is filed under the name uncultured bacterium. Its description in RNAcentral is "partial 16S ribosomal RNA". It matches the Rfam family "Bacterial small subunit ribosomal RNA", at positions 28 to 523 of the family's 1533-position model. The record is from RNAcentral.